Molecule: ribosomal RNA, 280 nt
Filed under: uncultured bacterium
Lineage: Bacteria
Description: partial 16S ribosomal RNA
Rfam family: Bacterial small subunit ribosomal RNA
Source: RNAcentral
UGCCAGCAGACGCGGUAAUACGGAGGGGGUUGGCGUUGUUCGGAAUGUACUGGGCGUAGAGCGCACGUAGGCGGACUGGAAAGUUGGGGGUGAAAUCCCAGGGCUCAACCCUGGAACUGCCUCCAAAACUAUCAGUCUAGAGUUCGAGAGAGGUGAGUGGAAUUCCGGGUGUAGAGGUGAAAUUCGUAGAUAUUCGGAGGAACACCAGUGGCGAAGGCGGCUCACUGGCUCGAUACUGACGCUGAGGUGCGAAAGUGUGGGGAGCAAACAGGAUUAGAUA